UCCUGGCUGGCUCAGUUGGGAGAGCAUGUGACUCUUGAUCUCGGGUUGUGGGUUCGAGCCUCAUGUUUGGUG
RNAcentral lists this transfer RNA (72 nucleotides) under Ailuropoda melanoleuca (giant panda). It matches the Rfam family "tRNA". From Rfam's summary of the family: Transfer RNA (tRNA) molecules are approximately 80 nucleotides in length. Their secondary structure includes four short double-helical elements and three loops (D, anti-codon, and T loops). The record is from Rfam by way of RNAcentral. Lineage: Eukaryota; Metazoa; Chordata; Mammalia; Carnivora; Ursidae.